ACAAAAAUGUAAGUAUGUGUGUAGUGGGAGAAGCUGUUAAACAUUUAAUAUAAUUGUGUGUCAUUCUAGGUGACAGAGGGACACUCUAGAGGACAGAGGAGAUCUCCAAGGACAGCCGAUGUCGCAAGAGAGGAGAAUAGUGACAGUGGUUCCAAAGAAUAAAGACAAACACCGCUGCUACUCUGAAACCAGAGAUAUUACUCUUCUGUAGCUGAUCCUGCGGCUUUUGGAACAAGAAAAUUAUUGCUAUUCUAUUUGUUCGCAGUCAAACAAAUUGUAUAUACUCUGAAGAUCCUCGGUAAUUGCACUGCAAUAUGAGCAAGAGAGAGAACAAGUGGCACACCCAAUGUGAGCUAGCAGGAAUAACUACAGAUUUCAUGGUUGUGACAUCACCACCAGGGUCAUUAAGUAAGAUAUGACAACUACAAGCCCCAAAAUUCACCAGUUCCAUUCUCCAGAAGCUUACUGCAUAAUUUAGACAGAGAUCACAACAAAUAAUGAAGGCCGACUAUGAUCUUCCAGAAGAACAUUCAAUAUUGAUCUGAAGACAUCAAGAGAUGGAGAAUCCACCCUUCCCUUGGUAGU
Long non-coding RNA from Chelonia mydas (Green sea turtle), 585 nucleotides. RefSeq lists it as uncharacterized. Lineage: Eukaryota; Metazoa; Chordata; Testudines; Cheloniidae. The record is from RefSeq and is a predicted model, not a curated record. The transcript is spliced from 5 exons.